AGAGAGUUCAUGUGAGUGGGGGAAGGCCCAAUGCAGGGCUUGAUAUCACAACCCGGAGAUCAUUACCUGAGCUGAAAUCAAGAAUUGGAUGCCCAACUGACUGAGCCACCCACCCAGGUACCUGACCAGCCAGCUAGGCCAUUCUUCUUCAUGGAAAAAGAUGCAAAAUAUACCAAUUUGUCUAUUACUUUGGCCCUGCUCCUAACCACUGGACUCCUACUAAAAAUAUACUGGCAUUGCAGACUCCGAAAUCUUCUUAAGGUUAAUCUCCCACUCUCUGGAGUGUAUGUUUCUUAGCAAGGCCUCUAGCAUCCCAGCCACCUCUUGUUCAUUUGGCCCAGUCAAUAUAAUGUAAUUGAUGUAAUGGAUCAGUGUGAUAUUCUUUGGGAUGUCCAAAUGGCACAGUCUCUUUGGACACAUUAUGACAGACAACAUGAGUUAGCAUAGCCUUGGAACAAAACUGUAAAUGUAUGGUCUUGUCUGGUUCAUGUGAAUUCGAACUCUUUUUGAUCUUGUUUUCUGACUGGCAUAGAAGAGAACAUAUGCACCAUAUCAGUGGCUUUUACUGUGUUAUCUCAGGAUGUAUUACCUCUAGCAAAGAUAGCACAUCUGGCAUAGUGGCUGUGACUGGGGCUGUUUGUGGGUUGAGUUUUGACAGUUUACAGUCAUCAUCUAGAAGCCAAUCUUUUUUUGCAGGGGCUAGACUGGUGAAUUAGAUGGGAUAGGAUGGAGCCAAUAUUCUUUUACAUUCUUAAAGUUGUUAUUCCUUUGGAGUAUGAUAUUGGUUUUGGUUUGGGUGAGGAGAAAUUUCAGGGCCUUCCGUUUGGUUUUCCUCUCUAUGCUAGUUCUUACACCAAGGACCAAUAUGGGGGUUUGGCCAAUUGCUAAAUAUAUUAAUUCUAAUUAUACAUUUGGAGACCAGGGAAAUGACCACUAGAUGACUCUGUGGACCUAGUGAAUCCACUGUAGGUAGGGCCUUGCCCAGGACUACAUUUAUCCCCAUAUGCCUCUACACUAAUAGGGAAGACAUGAUGAUGUUUUCAGGCUGUUACAUAUUGUCAGUUCAAUCUCUGUGCUUAAUGGUCCUCAAAAUGUCUUAUAUGCCCCUUUUCUCAAUGUGUAGUUUCCCAAGUAAAUGCCAGAGGUCCCUUUGGGGGACUAGGGAAAUCAUUACCAUGAAUAACUUGCCAUGUGUUACAGGGAUCUUCAUUCUGUAGAUCUGGCCACCUCUUUAGUCACUGAAAAAUUGGCUCAGAUCCCAAAACAGAGUUAGGGCUUGUUAAUUUUUUUUGUCCACAAUCACUCUCAGCCUCCAGUUAUCUAUCCUUAAUUUAUUCUCUUGGUAUAAGCUGAGUUGUACCCCUUUUGGUUCUUCAUCUAAUUUUCCCCUAGGGACUCCAUGUUCUGUUAACCAUCUCUGUAACUCUAAAACUCUCUGCACAUCAAGACUCCUUUGGCUGUCAUUCCUGCCUUCUUCGUCAUUAUGAUUGUUAUGACUCCUUGGCUUUUGGCAGUAAACUGCUCACCUGGCUUCUCUUUUGGGGAUCCUAUUAUCCCCAUUACUAUUUGUGAACCAAGUUCUCCUGCUGU
Molecule: long non-coding RNA, 1590 nt
Organism: Mirounga angustirostris (Northern elephant seal)
Lineage: Eukaryota; Metazoa; Chordata; Mammalia; Carnivora; Phocidae
Exons: 2
Source: RefSeq, a predicted model, not a curated record